Molecule: ribosomal RNA, 429 nt
Filed under: bacterium
Lineage: Bacteria
Description: partial 16S ribosomal RNA
Rfam family: Bacterial small subunit ribosomal RNA
Source: RNAcentral
UAGGGAAUCUUCGGCAAUGGGGGCAACCCUGACCGGGCAACGCCGCGUGAGUGAAGAAGGUUUUCGGAUCGUAAAGCUCUGUUGUAAGAGAAGAACGUGUGUGAGAGUGGAAAGUUCACACAGUGACGGUAACUUACCAGAAAGGGACGGCUAACUACGUGCCAGCAGCCGCGGUAAUACGUAGGUCCCGAGCGUUGUCCGGAUUUAUUGGGCGUAAAGCGAGCGCAGGCGGUUUAAUAAGUCUGAAGUUAAAGGCAGUGGCUUAACCAUUGUUCGCUUUGGAAACUGUUAAACUUGAGUGCAGAAGGGGAGAGUGGAAUUCCAUGUGUAGCGGUGAAAUGCGUAGAUAUAUGGAGGAACACCGGUGGCGAAAGCGGCUCUCUGGUCUGUAACUGACGCUGAGGCUCGAAAGCGUGGGGAGCAAACAGG